CAUGUCUUUUUGAUUAUAAUUUAAAGUCUAAUCUGCUCAAUGAUAUUUUAAAUUGCCGCAGUAUUUUGACUGUGCAAAGGUAGCAUAAUAAUUAGUUUCUUAAUUAGGAACUGGAAUGAAUGAUUGGACAAGAAAAUUUCUGUCUCUCUUUUAAAUUUAUUGAAUUUUAUUUUUAAGUGAAAAAGCUUAAAUUUUUAUAAAAGACGAGAAGACCCUAUAGAGUUUGAUAUAUUAGUAUAAUUAAUUUUUAGAAAUUUUUAUUAUGAUAAUUUAUUUAUUUGGGGUGAUUUGAAGAUUAGAAAAAUUCUUUGAUUAUUAAGUUAAUAAUUUUUAAUUUAUCUAUUUAAAGUUGUUAAAUUUAAAAUAAAUUACCUUAGGGAUAACAGCGUAAUUUUUCUUAAAAGUUCUUAUUGAAAGGAAAGUUUGCGACCUCGAUGUUGGAUUAAAAUUAAUUUUUGGUGCAAUAACUUAAAAAUUUGGUCUGUUCGACCUUUAAAAUUUUACAUGAUCUGAGUUUAAACCGGUGUAAACCAGGUUGGAUUCUAUCUUUAGAGAAUAAAAUAUAUUUUAGUACGAAAGGACCAAAUAUAUAUUAAAUUAAUUG
Molecule: ribosomal RNA, 604 nt
Filed under: Sulabanus mamasensis
Lineage: Eukaryota; Metazoa; Arthropoda; Insecta; Coleoptera; Lycidae
Description: partial 16S ribosomal RNA
Rfam family: Bacterial large subunit ribosomal RNA (bases 379-537)
Source: RNAcentral